This is a non-coding RNA of Heterocephalus glaber (naked mole-rat), 2866 nucleotides long. The record is from RefSeq and is a predicted model, not a curated record. Lineage: Eukaryota; Metazoa; Chordata; Mammalia; Rodentia; Bathyergidae.
GGGGGCUCUUGGCCGGGCCUUGCUGGCCUGUGGCAGUUUGCUGGGAGGGAGGCAAGCUGUGAACCAUGCUCAGCCCUCACCAUCACUUCCCUCCCACCUUGCUGUCAACAGAAAGACUGUGGUGGACAGUCAGUGUUUCUUUCUUAGCUGUCUACUGUACGUUGCUGAGGUUUUCUUUCUCUAGUUCCCUGCUUGUGCUCUUUUCCAACUACAGUUCCCUCGCUUGUGCGGAGUAGCUUCCGCUGUGCACUCCUGAGUGAGAGGCCCGUUGUGUAUUUAGUGUCUGGUAUCCGGAGUGUCCUUUGUUCCAGGCUACAGGUGCAAGCAGAACAGUAAUGCAGCUCUAAGAUUUAUGGCCACCCUGUGUCUUUCAAAUUUCACAGACCUGUCUGUGAGAUCCAGGGACUGGGAUUAAGGAGACUGAACCCUACCUCGAAAAAGUGAGACUGUUAGAUGAGAAAGGAGCCCUUUUGGAUUGGGCUCAAAUCUGUAUUUUGCAGAUGUGGACACAGAUGCUCUGAACAUGUGAGUGACUUUUCUUAGAGGUGCCUUGUGCAGACUGUCAUGUGUUACAACACUUACAGAUGUGACUCCACCUCCUGUGAGCCUCUGAGAAGGUGCAGAUGACUAGAACAAUGAUCAUGGUCUCAGAAUCUGGAGAGAGCUUUGAAUUCACAGGGAGCUUUGUACAGCUGCUCCUAGAGAAGCCAGAGCUCCCGGGGGAGCCUCUGCCCAGGUGGAAGAGACUUCGAGCUGUACACAUAAUCACUGCUACCAGAGCCAGACACACACAGGGGGAGACAGGAGCAGCUCCCUGCUGACAGCAAUCUCCUCGCAGGGCAAGGUGAGCAGUUCAUGCUGAGUGGGCUGGUCCUUCUCCACAUGGGCUGAGCACUGUGUGGGGAGGGACCCUGGUGUGGGCUGGGCACUGCUCCAGUGUCUUCUCCUGGCUCCUGUGUUAUGUGUCUCUGUCCCCAGCACUGGUUUUCUACAGGAACACAUUGCUCCUAGUGCACUGGAAGUCAGACCUGUAUCUUGAGGGAUCCUGGAGUGGCACAGAGGAAGAACAUGUGUCGGAGUACAUGGAGUGAUGGCUUCUUCUCCUCCUGGCCCGGCCUCAGCAAGCUCUGGAGACACAUGGAUCCGUGGUUUGUGGAGUUCCUGAAAGUCACACUCUUCCAGGGAGAUGCUUGUGCUGUCUGUGCUCUCCCUGCCUUACCUAGGUACCUGGCUCACCUGGCUGCCUCUUCCUCAGACCUAGAGAGGCAAAGACGGGGCACGCUUAUGGGAAUUAACUAUGAACAACAUUUGACCAUGGGUUUGAAUCUAGCCUCUACCUCUUACUAGACUUUGAUGCUGUAUAAGUUACUUGCUCUCUGAGCCUCGAUUUUUCUCAUCUUUGACUCUGAGCUGAUGGAUUGUUAUGAUAACAACAUAGUAAUAAAUACUGAAUGCUUACAGUGGGCCAGGAAUCAUCUCACUGAAUCUUCACAAGCAGCCACUAAUUCAGGCUCCAUUAUUGUCCUCAUUUUAUAGGCAAUUAGACUUACAGAGGUUACGUAGAAGUUAAGUUCACAUUAUUCACCUGGGUUUGUUUGACGCCUCCCCCCACCCCCCAACCGAACAGGCAUUCACCACUAUGGUAUAUGUCCUCUCUCUCCAGCCUCAUUAAAACCAAGUUUCCAAACCACGAUUAUCUCACAAAUACCUCUAGCUGGCCUUUGUAAUUUACCUUCAUGAAUUUCAGCAGAGUACUUACUCUCUGAAAGCCACCUACUGGCCAAGAGUUGUUCAGUGGGAUUUGAAGUUCUCUAGGGGCUCAGGUUCUUCUUUAUUGCUUCCUCUCUCUAACUCCCCACCCCACCCCCUUGAUAUCCUCUCUGUCCAGUUGAUUUGAGGCUAUCACUUCCUGCUCUGAAUUGCUGGAAUGAAGUUCUUGAGUUCUGGCCAAGACACAAAAGCAUCAAAAGAGCACCACAAAACAUGGUGAUAUUAUCCUUAAAGUAACUUAUUAAAUAAAAUUCAGUAUUAAAUGAUAUACUAUUUUGUACAGUUUGUUAUCUAGAUCAUACAAGUUUGUGGAAAAUUUCUAGGAGAAAAAUUUAAUUUAGCCUGAUUUUCCUGGGAGUUGGGAAAAGCUUAUACUCAAUGCCUUCAUUUUACAUUCUUGGUUUAAGAAUCAUAGUGCUAUUAUAUCCUGAGACAUACAUGAAUUUUAUAUGAUGCUGUAUCUUACUUCAUUCAUUUGUAGACUCAGUAAGUAUGGUUUAAUGUUCAUGAUAUGCCAGAUACUGUCUCAUGCACUCUAUUAUUAAUAACUUCCGUAGGGCAAACAACUAUGCACUGAAUUCAUACCACUUUGUAAUUUUGUGGUCCUACAAAGACAUGAGUACAGAAGAUUCUUAAUAAACAGAGACUGAAAAAAUGUUGUGCAUGAGAACUUUUGGAAACACACAGGAUAUGCUGAAGAUAAGGACUUUUGGUAUCACUGUUCAUUUCAACUGUUUGAAAUAUAUUCAGCCUAAAUGCGUUUUAGUCAGCAUUUCCUUGGAAUCUGAAUUUCACAUUCAAUUUAAAAUGAACUUAAUAUUAGAAACAUUUUGUCAUUUCACAUCUUCUUAUCCCCCAUGAUAAGUACACAAAGGCAGUAACUAUCUUUCUGUUUCAUUGUGCUCAGCACAAUACUUUGUUGACAUUUACUGACCCACUCCUAAGAUUGACAAUCCAUUUUUUUAUCACAUAGAACUCUUCAAUGUCAACUUCAUUGCAUUAAGAUUUUCAAAUGACAUCAAAAUUUCAGGAUGUACUAGUUGACCCCAGGAUUGAGGAUGCCCAUAUACGAGACAAAUCCUAUUGAAAGCUUUAU